Molecule: ribosomal RNA, 579 nt
Filed under: uncultured Saprospiraceae bacterium
Lineage: Bacteria; Pseudomonadati; Bacteroidota; Saprospiria; Saprospirales; Saprospiraceae
Description: bacterial SSU rRNA
Rfam family: Bacterial small subunit ribosomal RNA
Source: RNAcentral
UCCUACGGGAGGCAGCAGUAAGGAAUAUUGGUCAAUGGACGGAAGUCUGAACCAGCCAUCCCGCGUGCAGGAUGAAGGUCCUAUGGAUUGUAAACUGCUUUUAGCAGAGAAGAAAAGCAUUCAUUGAUGAGUGUCUGACGGUAUCUGCGGAAUAAGCACCGGCUAACUCCGUGCCAGCAGCCGCGGUAAUACGGAGGGUGCAAGCGUUAUCCGGAAUCACUGGGUUUAAAGGGUGCGUAGGCGGAGAAUUAAGUCAGUGGUGAAAGCCUGUCGCUUAACGAUAGAACUGCCAUUGAUACUGAUUUUCUUGAAUUGGGUUGAGGUUAGCGGAAUGUGACAUGUAGCGGUGAAAUGCAUAGAUAUGUCAUGGAACACCAAUUGCGAAGGCAGCUAGCUGGGCCUUGAUUGACGCUGAGGCACGAAAGCGUGGGUAGCGAACAGGAUUAGAUACCCUGGUAGUCCACGCCCUAAACGAUGCUAACUCGAUGUUUGGGCGUAAGUUUGAGCAUCCAAGGGAAACCGAUAAGUUAGCCACCUGGGGAGUACGACCGCAAGGUUGAAACUCAAAGGAAUUGACGG